This 648-nucleotide ribosomal RNA is filed under the name uncultured bacterium. RNAcentral's name for it is "bacterial SSU rRNA". It matches the Rfam family "Bacterial small subunit ribosomal RNA", at positions 111 to 773 of the family's 1533-position model. The record is from RNAcentral.
UAACGCGUAAGGAACUUGCCUCUUGGACUGGGACAACUGUUGGAAACGACAGCUAAUACCGGAUAUUAUGAGAUUCUCGCAUGAGAAACUUAUGAAAGCUAUAUGCGCCAAGAGAGAGCCUUGCGUUCCAUUAGCUAGUUGGUGGGGUAACGGCCCACCAAGGCGACGAUGGAUAGCCGGCCUGAGAGGGUGAACGGCCACAAGGGGACUGAGACACGGCCCUUACUCCUACGGGAGGCAGCAGUGGGGAAUAUUGGACAAUGGACCAAAAGUCUGAUCCAGCAAUUCUGUGUGCACGAUGAAGGUCUUCGGAUUGUAAAGUGCUUUCAGUUGGGAAGAAGCAAGUGACGGUACCAACAGAAGAAGCGACGGCUAAAUACGUGCCAGCAGCCGCGGUAAUACGUAUGUCGCAAGCGUUAUCCGGAUUUAUUGGGCGUAAAGCGCGUCUAGGCGGAAAAAUAAGUCUGAUGUUAAAAUGCGGGGCUCAACUCCGUAUUGCGUUGGAAACUGUUUUUCUAGAGUACUGGAGAGGUGGGCGGAACUACAAGUGUAGAGGUGAAAUUCGUAGAUAUUUGUAGGAAUGCCGAUGGAGAAGUCAGCUCACUGGACAGAUACUGACGCUGAAGCGCGAAAGCGUGGGGAGCAAAC